This 158-nucleotide ribosomal RNA is filed under the name Ulocladium sp. s058. RNAcentral's name for it is "5.8S ribosomal RNA". It matches the Rfam family "5.8S ribosomal RNA". From Rfam's summary of the family: 5.8S ribosomal RNA (5.8S rRNA) is a component of the large subunit of the eukaryotic ribosome. It is transcribed by RNA polymerase I as part of the 45S precursor that also contains 18S and 28S rRNA. Functionally, it is thought that 5.8S rRNA may be involved in ribosome translocation. Lineage: Eukaryota; Fungi; Ascomycota; Dothideomycetes; Pleosporales; Pleosporaceae. The record is from RNAcentral.
CAACUUUUAACAACGGAUCUCUUGGUUCUGGUAUCUAUGAAAAACGCAGCGAAAUGCUAUAAGUAUUGUGAAUUGCAAAAUUCAGUGAAUCAUCGAAUCUUUGAACGCACAUUGCGCCCUUUGGUAUUCCAAAGGGCAUGCCUGUUCGAGCGUCAUUU